GACGAACGCUGGCGGCGUGCUUAACACAUGCAAGUCGAGCGGUAAGGCCCUUUCGGGGGUACACGAGCGGCGAACGGGUGAGUAACACGUGGGUGACCUGCCCUCAGCUCUGGGAUAAGCCUGGGAAACUGGGUCUAAUACUGGAUACGACUCCACGGUGCAUGUCGUGGGGUGGAAAGCCUUGUGCGGCUGAGGAUGGGCCCGCGGCCUAUCAGCUUG
RNAcentral lists this ribosomal RNA (219 nucleotides) under uncultured bacterium. Its description in RNAcentral is "partial 16S ribosomal RNA". It matches the Rfam family "Bacterial small subunit ribosomal RNA", at positions 28 to 248 of the family's 1533-position model. The record is from RNAcentral.